CCUACGGGCGGCUGCAGUGGGGAAUAUUGGACAAUGGGGGCAACCCUGAUCCAGCCAUGCCGCGUGUGUGAAGAAGGCCCUCGGGUUGUAAAGCACUUUCAGUGAGGAAGAACGCCUGGUGGUUAAUACCCAUCAGGAAAGACAUCACUCACAGAAGAAGCACCGGCUAACUCCGUGCCAGCAGCCGCGGUAAUACGGAGGGUGCGAGCGUUAAUCGGAAUUACUGGGCGUAAAGCGCGCGUAGGUGGCUUGAUAAGCCGGUUGUGAAAGCCCCGGGCUCAACCUGGGAACGGCAUCCGGAACUGUCAAGCUAGAGUGCAGGAGAGGAAGGUAGAAUUCCCGGUGUAGCGGUGAAAUGCGUAGAGAUCGGGAGGAAUACCAGUGGCGAAGGCGGCCUUCUGGACUGACACUGACACUGAGGUGCGAAAGCGUGGGUAGCAAACAGGAUUAGAUACCCUUGUAGAC
RNAcentral lists this ribosomal RNA (465 nucleotides) under Vreelandella stevensii. RNAcentral describes it as "partial 16S ribosomal RNA". It matches the Rfam family "Bacterial small subunit ribosomal RNA", at positions 338 to 795 of the family's 1533-position model. Lineage: Bacteria; Pseudomonadati; Pseudomonadota; Gammaproteobacteria; Oceanospirillales; Halomonadaceae. The record is from RNAcentral.